Molecule: long non-coding RNA, 2119 nt
Organism: Tympanuchus pallidicinctus (lesser prairie-chicken)
Lineage: Eukaryota; Metazoa; Chordata; Aves; Galliformes; Phasianidae
Exons: 2
Source: RefSeq, a predicted model, not a curated record
AAAGAAAAAUAGAACCUUGGGAAAUAAGGAAACUUUUCCCCGGAGAUUUUAAUCGGUGGUUAAUCCAGCAUGUCUGCUUUGCAAUGUCACCCAUUCCUGUGAAACACAGCACUCUUCAGUGAUCAAGAAUCCAAGCUGGCAUAAAGAACUUCUUCAUUAGGACAUCAAAACUGGAGGAAUAUUUUUGGUUUUUACUAUAACUUUUUCUUGGAAGUGUGUUCACUUAUUUCACGACCACCUAAGGCUCUCUAAGGCAUGCAGCAACACAGUUUGAGACAUCUCUGUGAUGUUCUGUACAUCAUAUAGUUGCUAACAACCUGUCAAAGUCAUCCUGACACCAAACUGAGAAGCCGAUAGUUUUAGUAACAUAUUAGCAGAGAUGAAAAAAGAUGGUCCUCAUUAUUGUAAUAAAAUCAACAGAGACACGCUGAGAAUCAAUUACUGAUUUUGUGACCUGUUGAACUAAACCUCAGUGAAGUGGGAAACUGCACAGAGCAUCUUACAUUAUCAAAUGAUUUAGGAUAGAGCACUGUCUGAAGACUUGCAACAAGUCAAGGCAAAUAUGUUUCCUUAAAUUGUAGCUUGCUUAAUUACCUUGUUCAUGAGCACAAAGAUCAAAUUGAGCAACUUAAGGUGCUGAUGCACUGUGCCAGCUGGACAUGAAGAGGAAAUAAUUAACACACACAAGAGCCAAGUUUAAGGAUGAGACUCUUACUGACAACAGCAAGGAGAUCCAAAGUUAAGGCAGACACUGUGUCCUUGACUGGAUCCAUGUGCCUACAAUUUGCAGCACAUAUUGGAUUGGGGAAGAGCACCAUGUGUUGCAGCCAUUUCAAGUAAGCAGAUGGCUUUUUAAAGCACUCGAUGUAGGGAAAGCAAAGCCCUUUCAAAGGCUGGCAUUUCACUCUCAUUAUUUGUCACAGAUUGUUCCACUCUUGCCUUUGCAACACCCGAGUAUCAUCAAGAAAACUUUCUUUCAUGAAAGCCUUGAAGAGAAAACUGAAAUUUGCUUAAAAAUCUUCUUCAUGCUCAAUCGCUCUUCUCAAGGCCACAGCAACAUCUUUCUUCCUACUGGAACAUCUCCCAAAAGCAAUGUUUUUCCUCCAUAAGCAAGCUCAGCAGCACUAAGGUGCACAGUAAUUGUUGACCAAUGAAGAACCGAACCUACGAGGCCAACUUUCAUGCAUUACUUCCUGCAUUUUUUCAGAGGAUCUCCUAUGCCUGCUUGAAGGCACCCAAGAUAAACACAAAGAAACCACCUCAUUCUAGCAUAUCAUCUUGAAGGAUGGACUCUUUGGAGUACUGCACACUACAGAAUUGUUAUGAUCAGGGGGGCCAGAUGUCACCAGCUGAGUCAUUCAUUUGAUGUUGCACCAUUGCGUGGUACUGCUGCCAUAGAUACUGCCCUGCCCUUAUGGUGGCUGCUGUGAUUCAUUGAAAGUAAUAUCAUCCCAACUGCCACUCCAGGGAAUCUUGCAGGCAUGAUUUUCUAACACAGAACGACCCCUUAAAAAUAACUGCCAGAAAUACUGCACUUUAUAAAAGGGCAUCUUUAUUAAUUCUCACGGUGGGUCACCAGAAAGUCCCAGGAACUACUGUACUCAUGGGGUAAUUUGUAGUUAUCAGAAACAUUGCAUUUAAUGUCUUUAUUCCAGUGGAACCGGAGCCCACUGGUUACUAAACAGCCUCCUCCUCUUAAAUCACAGAAAUUAAAGAGGAGAGAGACUCAUCAGAUUAUUUUAUCAAUCCACUCUUUGAAUGCAAAAUUGGCAAAUGUAUAGUCUUUGCCGCCAAAACAUUCAGAGCCAGGGACACUCACCACUGUGCUACAUGCCACUUCACUUAUCAGUGCCUACUAGUGUUUGGCCUUUCUCCUAAAACAAUGAAUUCCUGUGUAUGCAGCACAGCACUUCAUCCUUUGGAUAGAGCCUCAUCCAAAGAAUAGACUCUAAAUGACUGCAGAGUGCUGUGGACCGAUUCACUCACCUGAUCUGUUUAUUCUUCCAACUCUAUUGGAGUAGGACCUGGUGUUUCACUUGGGUAGUUAGACUGAAGGAUUCUAAACUUCUAUUUUUAUCAAAUGAAAGACUCUUCUCAGAACUAAACAAAAAUUCCACAA